UACGGGGGGGGCAAGCGUUGUUCGGAAUUACUGGGCGUAAAGGGUUUGUAGGUGGCUUGCUAAGUCAGACGUGAAAUCCCUCAGCUUAACUGGGGAACUGCGUCUGAGACUGGCAAGCUCGAGUGCAGGAGAGGAACGCGGAAUUCCAGGUGUAGCGGUGAAAUGCGUAGAUAUCUGGAGGAACACCGGUGGCGAAGGCGGCAUCCUGGACCAAUUCUGACGCUGAGGAGCGAAAGCCAGGGGAGCAAACGGG
Molecule: ribosomal RNA, 253 nt
Filed under: uncultured bacterium
Lineage: Bacteria
Description: partial 16S ribosomal RNA
Rfam family: Bacterial small subunit ribosomal RNA
Source: RNAcentral